Long non-coding RNA from Zea mays, 7047 nucleotides. RefSeq lists it as uncharacterized. The transcript has 9 exons. The record is from RefSeq and is a predicted model, not a curated record. NCBI's taxonomy places the organism in Eukaryota, Viridiplantae, Streptophyta, Magnoliopsida, Poales, Poaceae.
AUCACGGGCAACCGAAGCGCCACGUCGCCUUAAUUGGGACUUCGGAUGCUGGGUGACUGCACAUCCGAAUUUCGGAUGCUUUUUGGGAAGGUUUUUCAAGCCGACAACACAUUCCAUGCCUGCCACUCCUCAAGAUCCUUGGUUCUGUAAAGCACUCCUUGCGUAAUGUCUGCUACUUCUUAAAACCUUAGUGUAGGCGUCCACAGCACCAACCGUGCACGGUUCUGCCAUCUACCCCGCGAUGUCCGCGCCUGCCCCCGCCUCCCCCGUCCGCACCGUGCACCCGCCUUCGCCGCCCGUUGCCGAGAAAUCUGCGCCGGUCACCGAGAAAUCCGCCCUCUCCUAGCCGCCCGCAGAUGGAAACCCUACGACCCCUCCCUCCCCUCACCGCCUCCCCAGCCCGCAGUCUCUCCUCAACCUCCCUGCCUCCUCAUAAAUCUCCUUCCUUCCCUCAAUCGCACGCCAGGAAUCUCACUCGAAACCCUAGCGCAGCCGAACCCCACUGUCGUCUUCUUAAUCGCCAUCGUCUUCGUCGUGUUCCUCCCAGGGUCGGGCAUCAUCGAGAGGCCCAAGCUGACGCUCCUCUCGAACCGCGUGGGAGAGGGACGCGUCAGAGGCAGGAUUGAGGACGACAGCCACGACGAGCGAUCUGUGGACUAUGGGAGCGUGCCAUGAGAUGUACCCAUUGGCUUUUACGCCGCCUGUACCACCGGAGGAAUCGCCAGCUGUGGGCUCACCCACAUGGUCGUCACGACGCUCGGCCUCGCCAAAUGCAACAUGCAGAUAUGCAUGGGGUGGUGAGACUCAUCACAGUGUUGGGAAAAUAAUUGACAUCGAGAGUGAUGGCCUGCUCACCAUUGAUAUUCCUAAUUGGGCAACACCAUGGCAGGCAGAUCCAUCAGACAUGGAAAAGAUUGAGAACUCUAAUGUGAGCAAUUGGAUUAGAGUCAAAGCGAUAGUUCCUUCACCCAAAUAUGGAUGGGAGAAUGUGACUCGUAAUAGUAUUGUGAUAGUUCAUAGUCUAUAGGAUGAGAAAAUGUUAUGUAAUUCUGACCAGCAGGUAAAGAUUGAUGUGUAGCUAAUUAUAACCAUUCCGUUACAUUUGAAUAUCUGACUAACGAGAAUUUAGAGAUAUUUUCCAUGGAGCUGCAAAAUGCAUAAGAUCUUUUUGUGGGCAUUUUGAUCUAUAUUAAUGUUGUAAAAAGGUAUUUUGACAAUUCUUUUAACUGGAAACAAUCUUCAUUCAAUUGGCGACCUGUAGUACAAUUAUAUACCUACAUUGUUAUUAUUUUACAUAAUUUUUUUUGGACUGAUAUGGCCUUGAAUGUCCUUUAUAUUCACUCUUGACUGUUACAAGUGUCAUCUAGCUAGAAAACACAUUUGUAGUGUGGUGGUUGGUCACCAAGUAGUGGGACCAACUAGCUGGGUAAUAACAGUGGUCAUCGACCUUGGUUACCCUAUGCCCUAUGGGGUGAGGCUAGGACUCAGGGUCUAAAAAUUAGCAUAACAUCUUUUUGUGGGCAUUUUGAUCUAUAUUAAUGUUGUAAAAAGGUGUGUUUGACAAUUCUUUUAACUGGAAACAAUCUUCAUUCAAUUGGCGACCUGUAGUACAACUAUAUGCUUACAUUGUUAUUAUUUUACAUAAUCUUUUUUUGGACUGAUAUGGCCUUGAAUGUCCUUUAUAUUCACUCUUGACUGUUACAAGUGUCAUCUAGCUAGAAAACACAUUUGUAGUGUGGUGGUUGGUCACCAAGUAGUGGGAGCGGAGAUCGGAUCUGCAAGGAGCUGAUUCCUUCUCUCGCAGGUGAGGGUGCCCUUGCUUUCUUCGAUGGACUCCUCAUGUUAUUCUGUAAAUCUCAGCUUUGUUAUUAGCACUAAAUCAGAUGUUUCUUUCGCUACUUGGAGUCGUGAAUUGGUCUAGCAGGUAAGCAUCCAAGGAAUAUUUUUAGUUCAACUUUCAGCAAACAAUACAAUCGUUACCUAUCCACUUACCAAAUGGUUUACUCUGCACGUGUUAUUAUCUUGGUUCAAUCCUACGAUUAGGUUUGGAAUUUUGGACUGCUUGGUAAAUCCUAAAUUACACUUUUUUGUAAAUAUGUAUCUUGAUCAAUAUGGAUUCUUGCGACAGUUGAUAUCCAACGAUAAUAGUUUAGGUGCAUGUUUAAAUUAAUAGAACAAAUAAUAUAAUGAAAUUGUUUUGCUGGAUUUGCUUCUCAUGGUUUUACUCUGCAAGUUUAACCUGCAAAUUUUCAGUAAUUUUCUGUACCUUCUCGCUGGGGUGGAGCGGAGAUCGGAUCUGCCAGGAGCUGAUUCCUUCUCUCGCAGGUGAGGGUGCCCUUGCUUUCUUCGAUGGACUCCUCAUGUUAUUCUAUAAAUCUCAGCUUUGUUAUUAGCACUAAAUCAGAUGUUUCUUUCGCUACUUGGAGUCAUGAAUUGGUCUAGCAGGUAAGCAUCCAAGGAAUAUUUUUAGUUCAACUUUCAGCAAACAAUAUAAUCGUUACCUAUCCACUUACCAAAUGUUUUACUCUGCACGUGUUAUUAUCUUGGUUCAAUGCUACGAUUAGGUUUGGAAUUUUGGACUGCUUGGUAAAUCCUAAAUUACACCUUUUUUGUAAAUAUGUAUCUUGAUCAAUAUGGAUUCUUGCGACAGUUGAUAUCCAACGAUAAUAGUUUAGGUGCAUGUUUAAAUUUACAGAACAAAUAAUAUAAUGAAAUUGUUUUGCUGGAUUUGCUUCUCGUGGUUUUACUCUGCAGGUUUAACAUGCAAAUUUUCAGUAAUUUUUUAGUGCCCUUCUGAUUCCUUUUUUACAAUGAUGUGGCAGGAACUUGAUCAUGUUGUGCCUCUGAUCAGAGCUUUGGCUCUUCUUAAUUCUCAUACUUCUUCUACCUCAAGUUGGUAGGCUCAAGACUCUUGAUUCACUAAAGAAUAUAGGUGUAAACCCCUAUCCUCAUAAGUUCCUGGUUAGUUUUGAGCCUAGAGGAAUAUGAAUGCUGGCUACUUACUGAUAAUGUUUUCUUUUGUGUGCAAACAUGUCCUCUGAUGCUUAGGGUUUUCACAAGGGUAAGCAUGCUUAUGUCUUCUUGUUUCUAUCUUAAUGAAUUUAUUUAUUGGUUACCCUGUGCUGAUUAGCACUUCACUUCAGUUUAGAUAUUUAUAUAUUGUGGCAUUUUUCUAGGACUUCGGUUAACAUGUUUAGACAUUGUUCUUGUGUUUCCUAGUGGGGGUGCUUAGAUCCAGUUGAGAUCUAUGUCCGUGUAUUGGUCGUUAUUUGUUUUCUCUAAUUACUCGGUGGCUCUGCAUAAUGCUGUAGGAUUUAAAAUUUUCAAAGUAUGCUCUCUGCUUUAAACAUGUAAAAAUACACUCAUGUUUUAUCCACAAAUUUGUACCAGUUUUGUUUGAUUACUUACUUCGCUUAUCUUGUCAUGCUUGUGCUUGCUUGGCCUGUGAUCGCGUUGUUGUAUAUUAGAAUAAUGCAAAGGAGAUGCUAUGCUAUAAACUUUGCCUAUCAAUGUAUUCAUUCACAAACUCGCCAUCAUUGCAUACAUAUUUGGUUUGGAGAAAUCGAGUGAGAUCCUCAAUCCAGCUCUAACAAUUCUCCUUUUAUUCAGUCGAUGCACUGGUCAACAGUAGCUUGGCGAAAUUGGGCUAUGAGUAUGUUAUUAUAGUUCUAGAUCAUGAUCCAUAGCUGAAAGGUUUUUCAUAUCUUCUUUCAUAUGAUUGUUGGGCAAAGUCUGCCUGGGACUACCAGGUUAGAAGAUCAAGUUUGCCUAUAGAUGCACUAUUCUAACCACUAACCACCCCAAUAAUUUUCAGCGUUAAUAUCAGUGCAAGAAAAAAUACUCUACUUUUAUUUUCCUCAUACAGGAUGACUAGACUACAUUUUAGGAUUGAAGGUCUUUCACUAUUGAUAAAUUUGCAUUUUUAUUGCACAGCGAAACUUUGUUGCAAAUAGAUAAAAACCUUCCCAUCUUGCAAAAGGGUUGAAGCUUGGCCUCUACAAUGACGCGGGGACACAAACCUGCAGCCAAAAAAUGGCAGUAUCACUUGAUCAUGAAGACCAAAUGUGAAAAUUUUCAUCUUGGGCUAAAAAAUGCUAGUAUCACUUGAUCACAAAGAGCAAGAUGUGGAAAAAAACAUCAUGGGUAAAUCUAUUUAUGUUUAUUUCCUGACAACUGUGACAAGUCAACAGUGACAAAAGUAUCUGAUCGUCUCUUGUUCUAAGUUCCUGGUAUUGUUCCAACUCUUCUUCAUUCUAUUUAAUAUCUGAUCAUCUAUUUAUUGUACGUACUGAUUAAAAAUAUGAUGACUAUAAUAAUGCUGGUAGGAGUGUGACAGAGAUGUAAACAAGAACAAUGAUUCCCUGAGUUGUAGUUGGCGGGGUCAGAGUCGAUGAAGAAUCUAUCAUCGUUAACCCAUGUCCGCCAGAAUGUGACAUUGAAUGGAGUGACUCUGUGCUAGAUGACAUUGAUCAUGUAGUCUCAAACAUCUGAGACGAUAUCCAGUCUAUCUGAGUUGUGUUGCCUGAUGUGAUGUAGGUAAUCCAACUUGCUGCAGCAGGCGAGGAGCGAGUGCCCCUGCUAGAAGAGUGCUAGCUCUACGCAUACGGUCGCUUGACAAACAUGUGUUGUUAACUGUUGUAUACAAUGUUACUAAUUAUUGUCCUUUAUUCUCUUAUGCUACUUCUGUAGUUGAUGCUCACAUUGUUCUCUCAUUUCCGUCUAAAUUUUGUAUGUUAUGCCAAAAGACCAUAUGUUUUUUGUAGUUUUUUUUAAAAAAAACUAGCUCUCUGUUUUUAUGAUUGUGUCGUCGCAACGCCAAGCCCUCUGCCGCCUCCACUGUUCGCCCUGCCAACCUAGGUAUGCGAAUCUCCAAUCCAUGUGAGGAUUCAGAGCUAGACUAGAUGUAGCUUCCGGCCUAUAUGAUUAGUUGUACUUGUAUUGUAAUCGAUCAGUGCAGGCACCGCAGAUGUGCUGCCGUAUGUGGGGAGCAGACAGUCAAUUUACGUCUAGGUCUAAAUAAAAUAGUAGUGAUUAAAUCUUUGAAUCUGUAGAUCAAACCAUCUCAAGUAAUUUUAGUUUUGUUAUGAAAAUUUUUAGCUCAGAUGAGAUAAUUGCAUUUUGAUUAUUAAGAUUUAACAUACAUCUGGUUCUAUGAGGAAGGAAAUCAUAAGUGGAGAUUGAAGUUGAUCAACUUGACACUCGAAUAAAAGAAUCAACAAGUAUUGCAAGUGCUGAAAGUUGUGACUGCUCAAGUCCAACUGCUUUAUCGCACAAGUUCUGGUGAAGAUACUUAUUCUAGAAUCUUCAAAAGCAUCAACGUUAGUGUUCAAGAAUUCAAAGAGUAACUGAAGAUGGAAGACUAAGAUGACAUUUAUGGAGAUCUAUUUUUGUAAAUGGGCUUAGUACCUGUUUCUGUUUGGUAAAGGAGGUAACCGGUCAAUCCUAUUUACUUUGUGACACCACAUCAAUCAUAAAGGAGGUAACCGAUUUUCUUAGACUGGCAUUCAUAUAGCCAGCCUACCACACAAUCCCCAUCCUCCACUUCAACAACCAAUUUCUAAAUGGAUCCAUCAACCAAUUUCUAAAUCGAUGAUUUUUGAUUGUUUGAUUUUGGUGUAGACUCUCGAUUUAAACAAUUUCAAGUGCCUGUAGAAUGUAGUUUGGAUGUGAACUGAAGUAGUGAUAGUUGCUACUGACCUGCCUUCAUAAUUUUUGCAAAUGGUCUGGGAUAGUUCGGUGAUGCUGUUCAUAAUCAUGUGCCUUCAUAUUGAGGAAGCAUGCAACCUGAUACAAAAGCAUAGAUGAUGGGUAAGAGUGUUUGUGCUUAUGCUCAAAUGUUAGAUAUGCUUUUUUCAAAUAUCGACAGCCAUAUGGACACAUAUGUUAAUGGCUGCCAAAAAAACUUUAAAGUCCACAUGUUAACUAUAAGUUUAGACAUCCGUGGUAGGACAUUUAUCAUUUUAGAUAGCUACAAACGUAACUUAACUUUCAACUACCUAUGUACCAGACCCAUCACAUGUCUAUGUUAUCAUUUUAUUCAGAUCGUUCAUGAUUUAUAGUUAACAUGUUGUCGUGGCUCAACAUUCCAUCUGGUCCAGUUAUGGAAGGUCCAUUUGAUUCAUGUGUGCUCCUAGAUUAUCAUUUGCACCUGACAGUAAUAUGUGUAUGUACUACAAUGAUCAUCUUCUGUUGCCAGUCUAGCGCAUGUUAUGCUUCUUGAUGUUAUGACUUCACAUCAAUCUAUCCACCCAUCUACUGUUAGUCAUAUGCCAUUUUUACCACCGUGAAUUUUACCGUUGCAAGAUCAUGGAUAAGCAUUUGAAGACCCUUGCCCCAGUCUACGUGGGAACAAAAUUCGUCAAGCUUGAUGCUGAAAUCUGUAUACUACCACUUGGCUAUAAACUACAUCCUUUUAAUAAUCAUGGAGCCUAAUUCCAUAUGUAACUAACUGCAGAAUGCUCCAUUCUUUGUGGCCAAACUGGCAAUCAAGACACUGCCAUGUGUAAUAUUGUUCAAGAAGGGAAUUGUUGUUGACCAAUUAGUUGGGUUUCAAGAUCUCAGAAGUAAAGAAGAUUUUCUGACAAUAGCAUUGGAACAUAUUCUUAUUCUCAAGACGAAAGGGAUAAUCGAUGAGAAGAAGACAGAUAACGACGAUGACGAUGAAGAAAGCGAGGCUAAGAAUAGGAGGGUUAGGUCCUCAACUGCUCAAGACUCUGACUCAAACUGAACCUGAGAUGAGGAUUGAGGACGCACCGUUUUUUGCACUUUGGAUUUUGUUUGUUUAUUUGUUUGUUCUGUGUUUGUGUUGUAUUGUACUGUAAUUGAUUUUUGUAACCAUGUAUCGGUACCAGACACCACAACAAUAACAUGUACAAGAGAUUCUUUAGCAUCCAUUGUGUGUAAAAGCUAGGGUUUGUGGCUGCCUUUUAUUUCGUUUUUCCUCAGCUGUCAUAGGAUGGUACACCACAACAAGAACAUGUACAAGUAUGCCAUAGCUUGUCUUUCUUGCUUCUUAAGACAUUGUUCUGCCUUUUGGCACUUAUGGCA